RNAcentral lists this ribosomal RNA (468 nucleotides) under uncultured bacterium. Its description in RNAcentral is "partial 16S ribosomal RNA". It matches the Rfam family "Bacterial small subunit ribosomal RNA", at positions 28 to 507 of the family's 1533-position model. The record is from RNAcentral.
AGCGAACGCUGGCGGCAGGCCUAACGCAUGCAAGUCGAACGGAAUCUUCGGGGUUUGUGGCGGUGGGGUGAUUGACACGUGGGGACGUGCAUGUUGGUUAGGUAUACUUGACGGUAACUUGUGCUCAUGCAAAAUGUGCCCAUAGGGGGAAAGAUUUCUCGCUAUUAGGGCGGCGCGGGUAUGAUUCGGUGGUUGGUGAUGUACUCGCGGCUUAUCGGGUUGAUGGUGGGGUGGUGUCUUAGCAAGGCUUUGACCGGUGGCCGGCCUGCGCGGGUGAGCGGACACAUUGGGACUGAGAUACGGCCCAGACUCCUACGGGAGGCAGCAGUGGGGAAUAUUGCACAAUGGGCGGAAGCAUGAUGCAGCAACGCCGCGUGCGGGAUGACGGCCUUCGGGUUGUAAACCGCUUUCGCCUGUGACGAAGCGUGAGUGACGGUAAUGGGUAAAGAAGCACCGGCUAACUACGUG